CCUACGUGGCCCUAGUACUCAGCAUCACUCUGGGGGACCAGCUGAACGAGCGCGUGGCCUACCACCGGCUGGCCGCCCUGCACCAUCAGCUGGGCCAUGGCAAGCUGGCGGAGCACUUCUACCUCAAGGCCCUGUAGCUCUGCAGCUCGCCGCUGGAGUUCAACGAGGAGACCCUCUACUACGUGAAGGUGAACCUGGUGCUCGGUGACAUCAUCUUCUACGACCUGAAGGACCCGUUUGAUGCAGCCGGGUACUACCAGCUGGCACUGGCAGCCGCCGUGCACCUGGGCAACAUGAAGGCACAGCUGAAGAUCUACACGCGGCCGGCCACCAUCUACCAGAACUUCCUCCUGGACCGUGAGAAGUCGCUCCUCUCCUACCAGAAGGCCAGGACCUUC
Molecule: long non-coding RNA, 398 nt
Organism: Mandrillus leucophaeus (drill)
Lineage: Eukaryota; Metazoa; Chordata; Mammalia; Primates; Cercopithecidae
Exons: 3
Source: RefSeq, a predicted model, not a curated record